AACGAACGCUGGCGGCAUGCCUAACACAUGCAAGUCGAACGAGGCCUUCGGGUCUAGUGGCGCACGGGUGCGUAACACGUGGGAACCUGCCCUUAGGUUCGGAAUAACUCCCCGAAAGGGGUGCUAAUACCGGAUAAUGUCUUCGGACCAAAGAUUUAUCGCCUUUGGAUGGGCCCGCGUUGGAUUAGCUAGUUGGUAGGGUAAAAGCCUACCAAGGCGACGAUCCAUAGCUGGUCUGAGAGGAUGAUCAGCCACACUGGGACUGAGACACGGCCCAGACUCCUACGGGAGGCAGCAGUGGGGAAUAUUGGACAAUGGGCGAAAGCCUGAUCCAGCAAUGCCGCGUGAGUGAUGAAGGCCUUAGGGUUGUAAAGCUCUUUUACCCGGGAUGAUAAUGACAGUACCGGGAGAAUAAGCUCCGGCUAACUCCGUG
Molecule: ribosomal RNA, 433 nt
Filed under: uncultured bacterium
Lineage: Bacteria
Description: partial 16S ribosomal RNA
Rfam family: Bacterial small subunit ribosomal RNA
Source: RNAcentral